RNAcentral lists this ribosomal RNA (255 nucleotides) under uncultured bacterium. RNAcentral's name for it is "partial 16S ribosomal RNA". It matches the Rfam family "Bacterial small subunit ribosomal RNA", at positions 524 to 776 of the family's 1533-position model. The record is from RNAcentral.
UACGUAGGGUGCAGGCGUUAAUCGGAAUUACUGGGCGUAAAGCGUGCGCAGGCGGUCUUUUAAGUCAGAUGUGAAAUCCCCCGGGCUUAACCUGGGAACUGCGUUUGAAACUGGAAGGCUUGAGUGUGGCAGAGGGGGGUGGAAUUCCACGUGUAGCAGUGAAAUGCGUAGAGAUGUGGAGGAACACCGAUGGCGAAGGCAGCCCCCUGGGCUAACACUGACGCUCAUGCACGAAAGCGUGGGGGAGCAAACAGG